This 519-nucleotide ribosomal RNA is filed under the name uncultured bacterium. Its description in RNAcentral is "bacterial SSU rRNA". It matches the Rfam family "Bacterial small subunit ribosomal RNA", at positions 57 to 573 of the family's 1533-position model. The record is from RNAcentral.
GCAAGUCGAACGGUAACAUUUCUAGCUUGCUAGAAGAUGACGAGUGGCGGACGGGUGAGUAAUGCUUGGGAACUUGCCUUUGCGAGGGGGAUAACAGUUGGAAACGACUGCUAAUACCGCAUAAUGUCUUCGGACCAAACGGGGCUUCGGCUCCGGCGCAAAGAGAGGCCCAAGUGAGAUUAGCUAGUUGGUAAGGUAACGGCUUACCAAGGCGACGAUCUCUAGCUGUUCUGAGAGGAAGAUCAGCCACACUGGGACUGAGACACGGCCCAGACUCCUACGGGAGGCAGCAGUGGGGAAUAUUGCACAAUGGGGGAAACCCUGAUGCAGCCAUGCCGCGUGUGUGAAGAAGGCCUUCGGGUUGUAAAGCACUUUCAGUUGUGAGGAAAAGUUAGUAGUUAAUACCUGCUAGCCGCGACGUUNACAACAGAAGAAGCACCGGCUAACUCCGUGCCAGCAGCCGCGGUAAUACGGAGGGUGCGAGCGUUAAUCGGAAUUACUGGGCGUUAAGCACACGCA